RNAcentral lists this ribosomal RNA (1251 nucleotides) under metagenome. RNAcentral describes it as "bacterial LSU rRNA". It matches the Rfam family "Bacterial large subunit ribosomal RNA", at positions 1630 to 2874 of the family's 2925-position model. The record is from RNAcentral.
GCCCUUAUACGACCGUACCGCAAACCGACACUGGUGCGCGAGAUGAGUAUUCUAAGGCGCUUGAGAGAACUCAGGAGAAGGAACUCGGCAAAUUGACACCGUAACUUCGGAAGAAGGUGUGCCCUAUUAGUGUGUAGUGAACAACGAAGCAUGAAUGGGUUGCAAAAAAUCGGUGGCUGCGACUGUUUAUUAAAAACACAGCACUCUGCAAACACGAAAGUGGACGUAUAGGGUGUGACGCCUGCCCGGUGCUGGAAGAUUAAAUGAUGGGGUGCAAGCUCUUGAUUGAAGUCCCAGUAAACGGCGGCCGUAACAAUAACGGUCCUAAGGUAGCGAAAUUCCUUGUCGGGUAAGUUCCGACCUGCACGAAUGGCGUAACGAUGGCCACACUGUCUCCUCCUGAGACUCAGCGAAGUUGAAAUGUUUGUUAUGAUGCAAUCUCCCCGCGGAACACGGAAAGACCCCAUGAACCUUUACUGUAGCUUUGUAUUGGACUUUGAACAGAUCUGUGUAGGAUAGGUGGGAGGCUUUGAAGCAGGGUCGCUAGAUCUUGUGGAGCCAACGUUGAAAUACCACCCUGGUGUGUUUGAGGUUCUAACCUAGGUCCAUUAUCUGGAUCGGGGACAGUGCAUGGUAGGCAGUUUGACUGGGGCGGUCUCCUCCCAAAGCGUAACGGAGGAGUUCGAAGGUACGCUAGUUACGGUCGGACAUCGUGACGAUAGUGCAAUGGCAUAAGCGUGCUUAACUGCGAGACUGACAAGUCGAGCAGAUGCGAAAGCAGGACAUAGUGAUCCGGUGGUUCUGUAUGGAAGGGCCAUCGCUCAACGGAUAAAAGGUACUCUGGGGAUAACAGGCUGAUACCGCCCAAGAGUUCAUAUCGACGGCGGUGUUUGGCACCUCGAUGUCGGCUCAUCUCAUCCUGGGGCUGUAGCCGGUCCCAAGGGUAUGGCUGUUCGCCAUUUAAAGAGGUACGUGAGCUGGGUUUAAAACGUCGUGAGACAGUUUGGUCCCUAUCUUCCGUGGGCGCUGCAGAUUUGAGGAAGCCUGCUCCUAGUACGAGAGGACCGGAGUGGACACACCUCUGGUGUAUCGGUUGUCACGCCAGUGGCAUUGCCGAGUAGCUAAGUGUGGAAGAGAUAACCGCUGAAAGCAUCUAAGCGGGAAACUCGUUUCAAGAUGAGAUCUGCCGGGGCCUUGAGCCCCCUAAAGAGUCGUUCAAGACCAGGACGUUGAUAGGUCAGGUGUGGAAGC